AAACCAUGAUGAGGACACUCUAAGAGAUGGUCUUUGAAUCAUUCCAUACACCUAGAGAAUGGUUCAUUGGGUCUUUGGUGAAACUUGAGAAUGUCGUUCCUAAGUUU
Molecule: small nucleolar RNA, 107 nt
Filed under: Cephalotus follicularis
Lineage: Eukaryota; Viridiplantae; Streptophyta; Magnoliopsida; Oxalidales; Cephalotaceae
Description: Plant small nucleolar RNA R71
Rfam family: Plant small nucleolar RNA R71
About the family: R71 is a member of the C/D box family of snoRNAs containing the C (UGAUGA) and D (CUGA) box motifs. Multiple nearly identical copies of this snoRNA have been identified in Arabidopsis, and it is thought to function as a 2'-O-ribose methylation guide for 18S ribosomal RNA.
Source: Rfam by way of RNAcentral